AAGUCGUAACAAGGUUUCCGUAGGUGAACCUGCGGAAGGAUCAUUCACAAUGAGUGUUUAAUGGCACUCUAAAUCCAUUACCCACCUUGUGUGCAAUGUCGAGGGGGAGAGGAGGGAACAUUCUUUUCUUCUCCCCUUUUCAUACAUACCAAAAAACUUUUUAAUAUCAGUCUACAUCUAUUUAGAGUAUAAAAAACUCGAAAUACAACUUUCAACAACGGAUCUCUUGGCUCUC
Molecule: unclassified non-coding RNA, 235 nt
Filed under: fungal sp.
Lineage: Eukaryota; Fungi
Also listed under: 1 other name
Description: partial internal transcribed spacer region
Rfam family: Eukaryotic small subunit ribosomal RNA (bases 1-46)
Source: RNAcentral